RNAcentral lists this ribosomal RNA (403 nucleotides) under uncultured bacterium. RNAcentral describes it as "partial 16S ribosomal RNA". It matches the Rfam family "Bacterial small subunit ribosomal RNA", at positions 28 to 526 of the family's 1533-position model. The record is from RNAcentral.
GACGAACGCUGGCGGCGUGCCUAAUACAUGCAAGUCGAACGCAGUGGGGACGGGUGAGUAACACGUGGGUAACCUCCCAUCAGAGGGGAUAACACUUGGAAACAGGUGCUAAACCGAUACUGAUGGAUGGACCCGGGGUGCAUUAGAUAGUUGGUGGGGUAACGGCUCACCAAGGCCACGAUGCAUAGCGGACCUGGGAGGGGGAUCGGCCAACAUGGGACUGGGACACGGCCCAGAAUCCUACGGGAGGCAGCAGGAGGGAAUCUUCGGCAAGGGACGAAAGUCUGACCGAGCAACGCCGCGUGAGUGAAGAAGGUUUUCGGAUCGUAAAACUCUGUUGUUAGAGAAGCGGUAUCUAAACAGAAAGCCACGGCGAACUACGGUCCAGCAGCCGCGGUAAUUC